GAGAUUCUUUCAGGGUCAUUCUAAUCCGCCAUUUGAUCCUUUUCCUAAAUUAUCCAUAAAAUGAACCAGGGAUUCUUGGAUAGCUGGUUGACUCCAAGGCUUGAAAGCCAAUUUUAAAAUAGCCUGGAAUACAUAUAUAUAUAUUGUAUAUAUUGAAUACAUGUAUAUAUACUUUUCCUCAAAUUAUCGUCCAUCAUGUUCCAUUACAAGUGACUAGAUAUAGUUCCCUGUGCUCUACAGUAGGAUCUCAUUGCUUAUCCACUCCAAAUGCAGUAGUUUGCAUCUAUUAAUCUCAUACUCCAAGAUCAUCCCACUCCCUUCCCCUCCCCCUCAGCAACAACACAUCUGUUCUCCAAGUUCAUGAGUUUCUUUUCUGUGGAAAGAUCCAUUUGUGCCAUAUAUUAGAUUCCCGGUAUAAGUGAUAUCAUAUGGUAUUUGGUUUUCUCUUUCUGACUUACUUCACUUAGUAUGAGAAUCUCUAUGAGUUCCCUCCAUGUUGCUGCAGAUAACAUUAUUUUGUUCUUUUUAUGGCUGAGAGUAAUCCACUGUGUAUAUACACCACACCUUCAUAAUCCAGUCAUCUGUCAAUGGACAUCUAGGUUGUUUCCUUAUCUUGGCUAUUGUGGAUAGUGAACAUAACGUGUCUUUUUCAAGGAAAGUUUUAUCUGGAUAUAUGCCCAAGAGUGGGAAUGCUGGGUCAUGUGGUAGUUCUAUAUUUAGUUUUCUGAGGAACCUCCAUACUGUUUUCCAUAGUGGUUGUACCAAUUUACAUUCCCACCAACAGUGAACAAGAGUAUCCUUUUCUCCACACCCUCACCAGCAUUUGUUAUUUGUUGACUUCUUAAUGAUGGCCAUUCUGACAGGUGUGAGGUGGUACCUCAUAAGAGUUUUGAUUUACAUUUCUCUAAUAAUCAGUGAUGUUGAGCAUUUUUUCAUGUGCCUAUUUACACUGGUAUAUCUUCUUUGGAGAAAUGUCUCUUUUUUUCAUUUAGAAUUCAUUUAUAAAAAAUAAAUUUCAGUUUGAGACCUCAGGUACCAAAUUGUGGCUUAAUUUAGUCAUGAUGGCGAGGCUAUAAAGUUAUGACACCAUGGUUGGGAAUGUGGGGUGCCAGCUCACUCCCUGCAGUGUGGCCCACAAGGGCAGCCUUCAUGGUCAUAGCCUUGUCACAGCUGGCCAAAAUGCUCAACCCCUGCACAAAUUCUAGGCUUUCUUUGUCCCAAAAUGCCACAAAACUUUACAUUUGAGAUCACCAUUAUGAAACAACUGAUAACCAUGAUACAUUCAAGACAAGAACAGAGGAGCUGUCACUGCUCAGAGCAGAGCCAGCAGCCCAGAGGACACGGCCACUCACCUGGAGCAGAGCGGCAUUGAUGUCCUGCACAGGUGUGGCCCUCACCCCAGAGAACAGUCUCCCACAGUCAGCGCAAGAGUCAGAACAAACAGUGUGGGUUCUGUGCUGGGACAGGGGCAGUGCUGUGCACAUCAGCAAGGACCAUGGUCCUGGCUGUGCCCACCUUAGACCCAGUUUGCACUGAGAUGUUUUCAGCCUUAGACAACUAUGUGAGGAGCAGUAAAGAACUGAACUAAGCAAAAAUAUUUUGCCUCCAAAUACAUACACACAGACACACACACACACAAAAGCAAGUUUCAAACCACUGUCCUCUCUCAGAGUGGACGAGCCACUGGCUGGCCUGUUAUGUGCCAUUGAGGUGAAGACAGUACUCAGUCUGUGGAGUAAGGUGAUGCAGCAAAAACCUGCCCUGAUGCAACCUCAAGCCUAAGGCUGAGCCAGGCCAGCUAGUGUCCUCCGCCAAGGCCAUCGAGCACAGGGCAGUGCUCAGACCUUGCUGAUGGUCCUUUCUGGGGACCAGUACUCCAAGGGGCCUACAAAAGCCAUGGAAAAAGAUUGGGUUUUCCUUUUCAAUCAGGCUUUAUUGUUGGCCAACACGAGGCUAUGCCAGCUUGAACUGACAAUCUCCAAAAUGAAUUUUUCACAGUCUACACACACCUCCAUGGCACUCCAGUCCUCCAUCAGCUCUUUGGGAAUUUAGGUCUUCAUCUGAUUUGUCCACAGACUUGGAUUUUGAGAACAAUCUGGCAAUGCUCCAAAGUUGUUGAUGGUGGCCAGUGGAGGGCUUUUCUGGCCUCAGACAACUUUCCCCUCUCUGCAAGGCAGAAGGUCCCAAUGAAAAGAUAGGAAGGGUGGAGUAUGGCUUGGAGGGCAGCUGCAUCUUCUUGCAACACUGUGAACAAACCGGCCUCUUACAGAACUGACAGGUAUAAGACCAGGUGAAGAAGGAAAAUCUCCUGGUUGGACAACAAAAGCAGAGCUUUUUUUUUUUUUUCAAAGCAGUGUAGAAAUCUUUAUACUGCUGGUAUUUUUCCAGCUCUGCCUUCACCAGGACCUGAUGGAUAUGCAUCACCUCCUCCACAGUCAGUGCCAGGUACUCCACUGGGAAGCAGAACUCCUCAAGCAACCAGGAGCUCCACCUGGAUGGGGGCAGGAACUGCCUCACUUGAUGGGUGUCCUCUCUGGAGUGGCUGCUGUCUCUCUGGCUGGGGUGUGGAGGAUAUGGGCAGGAACUUUGGAGGGUCCUUCCUCUAGAACACAGCCUCUAGAAAGGUUUGGCCAGAGUCGGUGUUUUGAGGAGUUUUCUCUGCUGCACAGGCACCUGCUGUGGGGCAAUGGGCCCAAUUUCUUUUGAUUGUGACCCUCCGUUCACCAUCGAUGACUCCAUAGCACUCUUCAGAGAUUCAGGGGUAGUAAUAUCUAACUGUACAUCUGCUGGUGAGACCGACUGCAGCUUUCUCUCUGCCUUGAUUUCCUCCAGUAUCUUUUCAUGGAGCCUCCAAGGCCACGGUGGGGUAGGUUUCAGUUUUCUGGCUGAGGCUGCAUUCAGAGGAGGUCUUGAUCUGAUGAUCUCAUGAUUUCAUGAGCACUUUUUUUUGUAAUUGAGAAGGAAUAUUACCAUUCACCAUCACUUUUCACAAGGUGUAUCUUUUGGAUCUGAUGUCAUCCAUUAGCAUUUCGUAAGGGGUAAGCUGAUACUCAAUGGGCAGAGGGUUGUACUGCCACUCUUGGACCUUCUCCAUUAUGCAGAUCCCUCAUCACCUGCACCCAGGAUGAAGCCCAGUCAGCAUUUUUCAGCUCCUCCAGGUCUGUGUUAGAUUCAUCAAUCUUCUCCAUUUCUUGAAUAUUCUUCAUAUUCUCUUUUGUACUUUUUAGCCAGAAAUGUAUGCAGCUCCAUUUUCUCUGCAAACAAGGUCUGACAUACUGCCUGAUAAUGAUUUGGUGCUUCUGAUUCAGUUGGGAGGUGAGCGGCACAUAACUUCAUGACAUCUCUAUACAACCAGAGAGCUGAGGUUUUUCUCUUUUCACCGUUGUCCCUCCUCCAGACCUUCCUCCACAGCCUCAUAUCUCUCAUCAUUGCUGCCAUUAGCUUCUGCCAUGUUGGCCUUGCCAUCAAUGAGCUGCUCCAGGGGAGAGCUCAAUUCCCUUUUUUUAUUCUCCUUCAAACCAUAGUCCAAAGCCUUAUAGAUAUUAUUCCUAAAGAUUCAAUAACCUAAAGCAAUGAGCAUUCUGAGCCCUAUGUCAAAUCCCCAAGCCUAGAGAUCUGGCCCUAGGAGAAAGAGCCCCUGGAGCAUCUGGCAUUGAAGGCCAGUGGGGCUUGUGCACAGGAGCUCCACGGAACUGGGGGAAAUGGAGACCCCAUUCUUGAAAGGCACACACAGAUUUUCAUAUGCACUGAGUCCCAGGGCAAAGCAAAGUCUCCACAGGAAUCUGGGUCAGACAUGACUGCAGUUCUCAGAAGAUUUCCUGGGAAAACAGGGGGUGACUAUGGCUCAUUGCUAGGGAAGGACUCUAGAGGCAAAGCUCUCAGGAAUAUUCAUGAGCGAGCAUUUCUCUGGAGGUGGCCAUCCUGGGAAAAUCCGGCCCCACCCAUCUUCUUUGGAGAAAUGUCUAUUCAGGUCCUUUGCCCAUUUUUUAAUCAGGUUGUUGACUUUUUUUGCUUUUGAGUUGUAUAAGUUGUUUGUAUAUUUUAGAGAUUAAGCUCUUGUAAGUUACAUUGUUUGAAACUAUUUUCUCCCAUUCUGUAGGUUGUCUUUUUUUGUUUUUUGUUUCUUGUUUUUAGGGUUUUCUUUGCUGUGCAAAAGUGUGUCAAUUUGAUUAGGUCCCAUUGGUUUAUUUUUGCUUUUAUUUCUACUGCCUUGGGAGACUGACCUAAAAAAACCAUCUGUACAGUUGAUGUCAGAGAAGGUUUUUGCCUGUGUUCUCUUCUAAGAGUUUGAUGAAGUCUUGUCUUUUUAGGUCUUUAAGCCAUUUUGACUUUAUUUUUGUGCUUGGUGUGAGGGUGUGUUCCAAUUUCAUUGUAUUACGUGCAGUCCAAUUUUCCCAGCACCACUUGCUGAAAAGACUUUCCCAUUUUAUAAUCAUGCCUCCUUUGUUGAAGAUUAAUUGACCAUAGGUGUCUGGGUUUAUUUCCAGGUUCUCUAUUCUGUUCCAUUGGUCUGUAUGUCUGUUUUGGUACCAGUACCACAGUGUCUUGAUUACUGUAGCUUUGUAAUAUUGUCUUAAGUCUGGGAGAAUUAUCCCUUAUGCUUGUUUUUUGUUUUGUUUUGUUUUUGUUUGUUUUGUUUUUUCCCUCUCAGGAUUGCUGUGGCAAUUCUGGGUCUUUUAUGGUUCCAUAUAAAUUUUUGGAUUGUUGGUUGUAGUUCUGUGAAAAAUAUCAUGGGUAAUUUGAUAGGGAUUGCAUUGAAUCUGUAGAUUGCUUUGGGUAGAAUGGCCAUUUUUACUAUGUUAAUUCUUACACCCCAGGAAAAUGGAAUAUCCAUUUCUUUGAAUCCUCUUUAAUUUCCUUGAUGAAUGUUUUAUAGUUCUCAGCAUAUAAGUAUUUCACCUUCUUGGUCAGGUCAUCUAGUCACUUGUGAUGGAACAUCAUGGAGGAUAAUGUGAGAAAAAGAAUAUAUAUAUGUGUAUGACUGGGUCACUUUUCUGUACAGUAGAAACUGAAAGAACACUGUAAACCAACUAUAAUGGAAAAAAUAAAAAUAAAAAAA
Molecule: long non-coding RNA, 5059 nt
Filed under: Sus scrofa (pig)
Lineage: Eukaryota; Metazoa; Chordata; Mammalia; Artiodactyla; Suidae
Description: lncRNA (ENSSSCG00060056868.1)
Source: RNAcentral